GUGCCCAUAGCUCAGAUGGUUAGAGCGUUCGACUCAUAAUCGAGGGGUCUCCGGUUCAAGUCCGGAUGGGCGCACCA
This 77-nucleotide transfer RNA is filed under the name Vibrio phage 144E46.1. Its description in RNAcentral is "tRNA-Met". It matches the Rfam family "tRNA". Rfam says of the family: Transfer RNA (tRNA) molecules are approximately 80 nucleotides in length. Their secondary structure includes four short double-helical elements and three loops (D, anti-codon, and T loops). Lineage: Duplodnaviria; Heunggongvirae; Uroviricota; Caudoviricetes; Pantevenvirales; Ackermannviridae. The record is from RNAcentral.